RNAcentral lists this long non-coding RNA (628 nucleotides) under Triticum aestivum (bread wheat). RNAcentral describes it as "long non-coding RNA (TAES_LNC006712)". Lineage: Eukaryota; Viridiplantae; Streptophyta; Magnoliopsida; Poales; Poaceae. The record is from RNAcentral.
CAGCGAAUGUUUCAGAGGGUGACCGACUCGGGGCUGCCCCGGUCAAUCCAUGCACAUAAUGGUACUUUCCGUCUGUCUCUUUACGCAGGUGAUGCUAUGGUGUUUGCCAAUCCGGACAGGGACGAGCUAAGGGUUAUUGCGGGUAUCUUAGGCGCUUUGGCGAUGCAAGUGGGCUGCUAUUGAACAUGGACAAGACUGAAAUUUAUCCUAUCCGUUGUGACGGCGUUGACCUAACAGAAGUGUUGGCCAUGCAUUGGUUAACUGGGAAAUGGUUUGUCGGCCUAGCAUGUAUAAUGGUGUUAUCUUAGCGGUGCCACGUAGGAUAAAUGCUAAGGUGGAGGAGAGAGAAAUCAUAAGAAAAAACUUGUCUUCUCUUAUUUAAGAGAUGAUCUCUUAGCACAAUAUGUCUCACCACGGUUUUAGUAAUAGCUAGUUAUUGAAGAGAAGACUAAAAAAUAACCCAUUGUAGGCAUGUAUUUAUUGUCAUAUCUAAAUUACAUGCAAGCCUUAUGAUAAGACGGUCUUAUCAACCAUUGUGCAUGCCCUAAAGAUUUUCGGUUACGGAUCUUCUAGACUUAUGGCUCUGUGACCGCGUGACAUUGUGUAAUAAAAAAUGCUAGACUUAUGG